CUAGCCCUAUAAAUACCAAAGAAGGGGCGUCUGGUAGCUACAUUCAGAAAUAGGCCUGCUGAGUCAAAGAGCGAGUCACCAUGAGAGCUAAGUGGAAGAAGAAGCGCAUGAGGAGGCUGAAGAGGAAGCGCCGAAAGAUGAGGCAGAGAUCAAAGUAGAGGUUUACAAGGACAAGAAGAUAGACCUUCCCUGAUAUGCCUUUUUGUCUUCAUAACCUGCAUUUGUGACCAUGCGGGCUUGUGAGGAUCGGAAGACUGAUGGAGAUGGAUUGUUCUUUUUCUAUCUUAUUGGAACCUUGUUCUAUGAGAUGCCAAUGGAGUUUUGGCUUUUAGGCUUUAGAGUAUUAUUGAUGCUUCGGAUGAUAACGUUGAGACAGUCAUUUAGUUUUGUUUAUUCUAAUAUGCUUUCAAAAGGUUUAUGAAACUUGAAGAAGAUUGAACUCUUGGAUGGAUCAUUAAAAAUGAAUCUCUGAUCUGAACAUCUUAGAAA
Molecule: long non-coding RNA, 489 nt
Organism: Vitis riparia (riverbank grape)
Lineage: Eukaryota; Viridiplantae; Streptophyta; Magnoliopsida; Vitales; Vitaceae
Exons: 2
Source: RefSeq, a predicted model, not a curated record